Molecule: long non-coding RNA, 336 nt
Organism: Vespula vulgaris
Lineage: Eukaryota; Metazoa; Arthropoda; Insecta; Hymenoptera; Vespidae
Exons: 2
Source: RefSeq, a predicted model, not a curated record
AACCGAACGAGCACCGACUGACGCGCCACGCCGUGCACAGCUGGCCGCCGACAGUGCCGUCAGCUUAUCCCCACCAUCUAUGCUCUACUCAAUACCGUAUCACGCUUAUUCCGAUGACCAAUUGACACUUGGACGAUAACAGACUUUUUCAAAUACAACAUAUAUAUAUAUAUAUACAUACAUAGGUAUGUACAUAGAACUAUGUUUCCCUUGCUCGUCGAUAAAAAUAUUCUUGCGCAGCCUCCCCGUUUGAGUUAUUACGUAAGCUUCCUUCCCCUCUUGCCAGAAUGCAAAAUAUUUACUGGACUAUGCCAAAAGAAAAAAAAAAAAAAACAA